AUCUCGUGAUGGCUGUGCCUGUCAGUUACGUGGAGCUUUGCCCAGGGAUUUCCUGAGCCUGCUGGAUUUACAGGGAUAUUUGGCCAUCUGAGGAU
Non-coding RNA from Otolemur garnettii (small-eared galago), 95 nucleotides. NCBI's taxonomy places the organism in Eukaryota, Metazoa, Chordata, Mammalia, Primates, Galagidae. The record is from Rfam.